Molecule: ribosomal RNA, 751 nt
Filed under: uncultured bacterium
Lineage: Bacteria
Description: bacterial SSU rRNA
Rfam family: Bacterial small subunit ribosomal RNA
Source: RNAcentral
AGAGUUUGAUCCUGGCUCAGGAUGAACGCUGGCGGCGUGCCUAAUACAUGCAAGUCGAGCGGAAGGCCACUUCGGUGGUACACGAGCGGCGGACGGCUGAGUAACACGUAGGAACAUACCCCAAAGUGAGGGAUAAGCACCAGAAAUGGUGUCUAAUACCGCAUGUGAUCUUCGGAUUAAAGCUUCGGCGCUUUGGGAAUGGCCUGCGCAUGAUUAGCUUGUUGGUGAGGUAAAAGCUCACCAAGGCGACGAUCAUUAGCUGGUCUGAGAGGAUGACCAGCCAGACUGGAACUGAGAACGGUCCAGACUCCUACGGGAGGCAGCAGUAGGGAAUUUUCCACAAUGGGCGCAAGCCUGAUGGAGCAACGCCGCGUGCAGGAUGAAGGCUCUAGGGUCGUAAACUGCUUUUAUAUGUGACGAUUUUGACGGUAGCAUAUGAAUAAGGAUCGGCUAACUCCGUGCCAGCAGCCGCGGUCAUACGGAGGAUCCAAGCGUUAUCCGGAAUUACUGGGCGUAAAGAGUUGCGUAGGUGGCGUUGUAAGUUGAUAGUGAAAGCGUGGGGCUCAACCCCAUAAACAUUAUCAAAACUACAAAGCUAGAGGAUGAGAGAGGUUAUUGGAAUUCCUAGUGUAGGAGUGAAAUCCGUAGAUAUUAGGAGGAACACCGAUGGCGUAGGCAGAUAACUGGCUCAUUCCUGACACUAAGGCACGAAAGCGUGGGUAGCAAACGGGAUUAGAUACCCUAGUAGUCC